CUCUAUAUUAGGUUUUGAACUGCGACACAUAUUUAGUUCAAUCCUGAAUCCGGAAUCCAAAAAUCAGAGGGAUUAUAAAGAACUCCUUCACUGCGACAAUGUAAGCAAAUCCCUGUGCUGAAUAUGUGAAUGACAUUUUUAGGAAAGGGCAGCCCGGGCGAGGGAACAGCAUGUACAAAGGCAGGGAGGCAAGAAGAGCCUGGGGUAUUCGAGCGACUGUCUGUUAGGUGCAACUCAGCUAUCCACUAUGCUCGGGGCAGGGGUUAAAGGGAGAGAUGAGGACAAAGAAGGAUUUAGAAGCAAAAUUCUGAGAGACUUUGCAAACCUGGACACAUGGAAUACUUGCGAAUCAAUAUAAACAGCUCAAUGCUGGGGCUCUGAGGUGAAGCUCUAGUGGUGGACGUUGGCCUGCCUUGAACUUUUGUAGUUGGUGCUGCUUUUAAGGAAGACCUUGAACUCAACAGGAGGAUCAGCGCUGUACCAACAAUAUGGCUAUGGAUUUGGGAAUAAGCAUUAGAUGCAACUAUCCACCGCUGGAGAUUGGUCUCAUUUCCCUUGACUGCUCUCUCCAGAGGCCACUUACUCCUCACACCAUGGCGGCUUUGGAAAAUUCUUUGUAUGAUAAGCCUUUGCAAAUAGGAUAAGCAAAUGAAGGACACAGGGAUCUUCCUUCUCUGUGGCUUUGCAGAUGGAGAAGUCAAAACUUGUUCCUGUCCAAGGUGGUUCCCGCCACAGUUUGGGGCAAUGUAACUGGCCUCACCAGUUUCCCGUAUUUGAUAUUCCCAUUGGGGAAUUCGUACCUUGGUGUACAAAGGCGCUACGUCAAAGAUGACUAUUACACAGGAACUGAAGAGGAGCCAAUGCAGGAUUGCUGCAUCCAAGAAAGCGUCUGCAAUUUCCUUUCGGGCUCUAAUGAUGAUCUUGUUUUCUUUACUAGAAGGUCUUAUUUGAAUCUCUCUUUUGUACUGUAUGCUAAAGCCACUUUUCACUUUCCAUUUACAUUUUUACGCAAUAUCUUUUUACUCAUUCUCCCCACCCAUGUUUCUCCUCCUUAGAGAGUUCAGAUGAGAAAUUGUAAAAAGCUAGUGUUGUCUCCACUGUUAAGACUGAAUGCUGAGGGAGGAGUUCCCAUCGUGGUGCAGCGGAAAUGA
This is a long non-coding RNA of Phacochoerus africanus (Common warthog), 1151 nucleotides long. RefSeq lists it as uncharacterized. NCBI's taxonomy places the organism in Eukaryota, Metazoa, Chordata, Mammalia, Artiodactyla, Suidae. The transcript has 4 exons. The record is from RefSeq and is a predicted model, not a curated record.